Antechinus flavipes (yellow-footed antechinus) is the source of this 666-nucleotide non-coding RNA. The record is from the annotation of a RefSeq genome assembly. Lineage: Eukaryota; Metazoa; Chordata; Mammalia; Dasyuromorphia; Dasyuridae.
AGAACCGUGUUUUCCUAUAAUUGAGGUUGGCCAUGGAGGCAGGGAGCCAGCAGCCACCUAUGGGCUCUGUCCACUAUGUGGCGCCAUGUCACCGCCACCCCCCAUUCUGUGGGAUGCUUUGUGGGAUCCAAUGAAGACACUGUUUCCAUAAAUGGAGACGGCCAAACCUUGCUGCCCCAGGGCUUUUAUACCUCAUCCUUGGGCCAACACCGAGAGACAGAAGGCAGGGACCCAACCUCUUCUGCGGGCCCUGAGCCCAUCAUGGCCAACAGACUUCUUUGCUGGGUCUCCAUUUUUCUCCUGGGAGCAGCUCCCACUGAAACGGGAAUCGCUCAGACACCGAGAUACCUGGUCACCGAGGUGAAGCAGGAGGUGAUGCUGAGAUGUCAGCAAGAUUUGGGGCAUGAUACCAUGUACUGGUACCAACAGGAGCCACAGAAAGGACCCAGGAUAAUGUUUUUUUAUACUUAUAAAGACAUGAGUUUAAAUGAGACCGUUCCUCCAAGAUUCCAACCUGCAUCAUCAGGGAAUGGUCACUUGACCCUCAAAAUCCAACCUGUGGAAGCAGAAGACUCAGCCACCUACCUCUGUAGUAGCAGCAGAGAUGUUGCCCUGGUGUCCUUCUGCAGUGUGCGUGUUGAUCCCAGACUUGUGCUGCUCCAUUAA